UACGAGGGGGGCAAAUGUUGUUCGGAAUCACUGGGCUUAAAGGGCGCGUAGGCGGGCCGCCGCGUCCGGGGUGAAAUCCUCCCGCUCAACGGGAGAACGGCCUCGGAUACGGGCGGCCUGGAGGGGGGUAGGGGCGUGCGGAACUGUGGGUGGAGCGGUGAAAUGCGUUGAUAUCCACAGGAACUCCGGUGGCGAAGGCGGCACGCUGGACCCCACCUGACACUGAGGCGCGAAAGCCAGGGGAGCGAACGGG
Molecule: ribosomal RNA, 253 nt
Filed under: uncultured bacterium
Lineage: Bacteria
Description: partial 16S ribosomal RNA
Rfam family: Bacterial small subunit ribosomal RNA
Source: RNAcentral